CGGCGAGUGAAGCGGCAACAGCUCAAAUUUGAAAUCUGGCUCUUUCAGGGUCCGAGUUGUAAUUUGCAGAGGGCGCUUUGGCGUUGGCAGCGGUCCAAGUUCUUUGGAACAGGCGUCACAGAGGGUGAGAAUCCCGUACGUGGUCGCUAGCCUUCGCCGUGUAAAGCCCCUUCGACGAGUCGAGUUGUUUGGGAAUGCAGCUCUAAAUGGGAGGUAAAUUUCUUCUAAAGCUAAAUACUGGCCAGAGACCGAUAGCGCACAAGUAGAGUGAUCGAAAGAUGAAAAGCACUUUGGAAAGAGAGUCAAAUAGCACGUGAAAUUGUUGAAAGGGAAGCGCUUGCAGCCAGACUUGCCUGUAGUUGCUUAUCUGGACUUUUGUCCGGUGCACUCUUCUGCGGGCAGGCCAGCAUCAGUUUGGGCGGUUGGAUAAAGGUCUCUGUCAUGUACCUCCUUUCGGGGAGGCCUUAUAGGGGAGACGACAUGCAACCAGCCUGGACUGAGGUCCGCGCAUCUGCUAGGAUGCUGGCGUAAUGGCUGUAAGCGGCCCGUCUUGAAACACGGACCAAGGAGUCUAACAUCUAUG
This 583-nucleotide ribosomal RNA is filed under the name Phaeosphaeriopsis musae. RNAcentral describes it as "partial large subunit ribosomal RNA". It matches the Rfam family "Eukaryotic large subunit ribosomal RNA", at positions 87 to 686 of the family's 3401-position model. Lineage: Eukaryota; Fungi; Ascomycota; Dothideomycetes; Pleosporales; Phaeosphaeriaceae. The record is from RNAcentral.